Molecule: non-coding RNA, 4105 nt
Organism: Coffea arabica (coffee)
Lineage: Eukaryota; Viridiplantae; Streptophyta; Magnoliopsida; Gentianales; Rubiaceae
Source: RefSeq, a predicted model, not a curated record
AUUCCCCUCAAUCGUUAAAAGCAUCUCGCAAUCGUCCUUUUCCGCCCCUUCCCCAGUCCUACCCACUCGCCGUUACUCCUAAGGUUGUGGGGGGAAAUCAUCGGAGGGCGCUUCUGUAAUUUACUACAAAUCUAAUGGCGGAUCGGAACAGCAGCACGAACGGCAAUCCCAAUGCGGCUGCGGCUACGGCGGCGGGGGCGGCUGCCACCGGCGCCGUGGCAAAGACGAUAUGGAUGAAGCAAGCGGAGGAAGCUAAGCUCAAAAGCGAAGCGGAGAAAGCUGCGGCUGCCAAAGCAGCUUUCGAGGCCACGUUUAAGAACUCCUCCAACAAUACGGCUGCAGCUGCCGGGUCCGAGGACGAUGACGACGAUGAAGAUGAGGAGGAAAGAGAGCGAAGAAGGCUGGCUUUAAAGCCAAUUGGUCCAGUGGACCCCGGUAAGUGCACCGCUGCCGGUGCAGGGAUCGCCGGUGGGACUGCGUGCGUGGGGUCGACUUUUGUGGUGGUUACAAAGGAUGCGGAUGGCCGGAAGUUGCCUCACGGUGGGGCUCAGGUCAAAGUUAGGGUUUCACCUGGAGUUGGAGUGGGAGGAACCGAGCAGGAGGGGAUUGUGAAGGAUAUGGGGGAUGGGACUUAUACAGUGACGUAUGUUGUUCCAAAGAGAGGGAAUUAUAUGGUGAAUGUUGAGUGUAAUGGGAAGGCUAUCAUGGGGAGCCCUUUCCCUGUGUUCUUCAGCUCAGGUCCUACAACUGGAGGGUUGCUGGGGGUUGCUCCCUCUUCCACAUACCCAAAUAUGGUUAAUCAAACCAUGCCCAAUAUGCCAAAUUAUUCUGGUUCUGUUUCAGGUGCAUUUCCUGGAUUGCUUGGGAUGAUUCCUGGUAUUGUUCAGGGAGCUUCCGGUGGGGUGGUUUUACCUGGGAUUGGUGCAUCUCUUGGAGAAGUUUGUCGAGAAUACCUUAAUGGUCGGUGUGCAAAAACUGAUUGCAAGUUUAGUCAUCCUCCUCACAAUCUUCUGAUGACUGCUUUAGCUGCCACAACUAGUAUGGGCACUGUUAGUCAGGUUCCCAUGGCACCUUCUGCUGCUGCAAUGGCUGCUGCUCAGGCUAUUGUUGCUGCUCAAGCCCUCCAAGCUCAUGCUGCUCAGGCAGCUCAAGCUCAGGCACAAUCUGCUAAAGAUUCUUCUGGAUCAGCUGAUAAAGAGGGGAAAAACGAUACCCUUAAAAGAACCGUUCAAGUCAGCAACCUUAGCCCACUUCUCACAGUGGAUCAGCUGAAGCAGUUAUUUGGCUUGUAUGGAACUGUUGUUGAAUGUAAUGUGACGGAUUCAAAAUAUUUUGCUUAUAUAGAAUAUUCGAAGCCUGAAGAAGCAACUGCCGCAUUAGGAUUGAACAAUAUGGACGUUGCUGGUCGCCCAUUGAAUGUUGAAAUGGCAAAAUCACUUCCUCCAAAAUCGGCCAUUCUUGGUUCAUCUUCUCUCCCUUUAAUGAUGCAACAAGCUGUUGCAAUGCAGCAGAUGCAAUUUCAGCAGGCAUUAUUAAUGCAGCAAACAUUGACACAGCAGCAGGCUGCCAAUCGAGCAGCAAGCAUGAAGACUGCAACCGAGUUAGCAGCAGCUAGAGCUGCUGAAAUAAGUAAAAGUUUGAAUCCUAAUGGGAUUGUUGCAGAAGAUAAGGAAGCUGAUCGCAAAUCUAGGUCUCCAUCUACAACCCGCGCAAGGUCAAGGUCGAAGUCAAGAUCUCCUGUCAGUUACCGGCUUAGGCGCAAGUCUCGCUCUAUAACACCACCACGUCGGUACUCAAGAGGUUACAGAUCUAGAUCACCAGUAAGGUCUCGUCAUUACUCAAGCUAUGAGCAUGAAAGGAGGUCCUACAGGGAUAGCAGGGAUGAUAGUGGAAGAAGUAGGAGGAGGGAUUCAGGUAAAUCUCAUGAUCGCCAUUCUCCUGUUUCAAGAAGACGUAGAAGUAGGAGUGGGAGCCCUAGAACUAGAAGAUCAUACCGAGACGAUUCUGACUCCCCAAAACGCCAUCGAGACAGUCCAUCUCAUAGGCGAAGGAAAUCAUCUUGUGCCAAUUCAAGAUCACCUGACCACCACAGGGGAAGUAAAUCAUCCCCUAGAAACGAUGAAAGCAGAGCAAAACAUAGAAAGCAAUCCAGGUCCAGAUCAGCUGAGGUUAACCAUAACUCUGGUGAUAGGAUGGAUGAAAGUAGAGAAGAAAAGUCCAAGCACAAGGAGCGGAGGCGGUCGAGGUCCUCCUCCACUGGGGGCAAGACUCGAGAAGAGAAGUCCAAGCACAAGGAGCGGAGACGGUCCAGGUCCUUGUCCACUGAGGACAAGAUUCGGAAACGAAGUAGAUUGUCACCAAGAGUUUCAGGUGAAACCAAAUCAAAACAUAAAAGGCGGUCCAGGUCUAGAUCUCCUGAAAAAAGACAUCACGUUGGUAGUAAAGUAGACAAAAACAGUGAAGAGAAGUCCAAGCAUCACGAAAGAAGGCGGUCCCGGUCAAGGUCUACUGAAGGUAAACGGCACAAAAGUUGUGGGAUGUCGCCUAGAAGGACUGAUGAACGGAAAACAAAACAUAGGAAGCGCUCAAGGUCAAGGUCGACAGAACACAAGUAUCACUCGAGUGACAAUGGUCUGCAGGAAAGUAAGCAUGAGAAUGUGAAACAUCUGAAGGAAAGACCCACUGAAUCAGAUGAUUCCUCCAUGGAACCUGGUCCUAAGGACUUAAAUGAUUCAGAAAAUGAUGAUGGCCAUAUGGAAAUCAAUAAAAGGGAUGAGCGUGACUAUGAGAGAACCGAGGCUACUGUGACAGAACUAAAACCUUACCAGAGAAACGUGAACUAGUUUGAAAUGCUGUCACCAAAGGCAAUGGUAUUUAUUUUGUGUAAUGGAGGAUUGCUAAUGCAUCAAAAGCAACCUGUACUUUGAAGUAACUCGGUUUGAAGUUUAGGCUUGUGUGGAAAGGGCUGCGAAAAGAGGAAGAUCUGGGUUUCUCUUGGAAGAUUCCUCAAUUUCUUUUCUGCUCCCAAAUAUUAGGAUGAUAUGUGGCUCUCUUGUGAUAAUUACCUUUUUUUUUUUCCCUUCCUUCUUCUCCUGAUUGCAGGUUGUUGAUGGAGUGGAGUUGCUGUAUUCUGAAGCUAUCUUGCUAUCAUAUUUCAGGAAGUCCUGUGCCUAUUUAAAUCAACUGAGCUAUAAUUUAUGGAACUACUGUAUGAGCUUGAUCUAAGCUGAUCUCUUACCUUCAUCAGUAGGUCCUCAAGCUGGUAUCAAGUGGUGCUUUACUGAUCAAUUUGGCGAGAUUGUGUUAUCUGGUUGUAUAUGAAGGUAUGCAAUCAUGGAUUCUGGUGGUCUAGUGGCAGGAGCUUUUGCUGUUAAUUUUGACUGAUAGAUUGAAUUGUUCACUGAUUUUUGUUGGUCCAAUUUUGAUUGAAGAUGAAGUUUGUUUCUGUACUUGAUACUUUGUAAUGCUCCUUUCCUCAUGUUUCUUUUGUCUUUUCCUUUUUUUUUUGGUUUUUUUUUUGGGGGGGAAGAGGGGAGGUUGGGUUUCCCCCUUCCCUUUUCUCUCUUCUUUCCUUCUUCCCUGUUUCUUCUCUAUAUUCCUUGGAAUGCUUGAUUAGGUAAUUUAUCAUUGACUCGAAAAGGAGGUUGCUGAGAUGGUUAGCAACAUAGCUUCCAGCUUUUCUCCCUGUGAAGUGAUCACAUUGGCCAACUUAAAGGGGCUGAGUUUCAUGGUGAAACUCUGUGUGCGCAGGUAAUUAGUUGUCUUAGACUGUUAUCCAAUAUCGUCUUCCUUGGAGGGAAAUGAAGUUAGCUACCCUAGGGCACGGAGAUUACUCUUGCUAAAGAUACCUAUCACUAGACAAGUAGUCUAACCCUCAGAGCAGCAGAUAGCUUGUUUGGUACACGAACCAUCUAGUUUAAUGAUAGGUAUAUUACAUUAGUUUCAUGUUGCUGAUGUUUAAUUUUGGAGUACAUUGAUGAUCAUUGCUCGAUCUGUCUAUAUCCAUGAUUGAGAGUUCACUUAUAUGCGGUCUGUGUGUACGCGUACGGAUGGGGAAAUUGUGAUUAAGCUGAAGCUCGUGAGCCAGUUGGCUGAAGUUCAGAUC